CCUACGGGAGGCAGCAGCGGGGAAUAUUGGGCAAUGGGCGAAAGCCUGAACCAGCAACGCCGCGUGAAGGAAGAAGGUUUUCGGGUUGUAAACUCCUUUUCUGAGGGACGAAGAAAGUGACGGUACCUCAGGAAUAAGCCACGGCUAACUACGUGCCAGCAGCCGCGGUAAUACGUAGGUGGCAAGCGUUAUCCGGAUUUAGUGGGGGUAAAGGGCGUGUAGGCGGGAAAGCAAGUCAGAUGUGAAAACUCAGGGCUCAACCCUGAGCCUGCAUUUGAAACUGUUAUUCUUGAGUGCUGGAGAGGCAAGCGGAAGUCCGGGUGUAGCGGUGAAAUGCGUAGAUAUACGGAGGAACACCAGUGGCGAAGGCGGAUUGCUGGACAGUAACUGACGCUGAGGCGCGAAAGCGUGGGGAGCAAACAGGAUUAGAUACCCUGGUAGUC
RNAcentral lists this ribosomal RNA (443 nucleotides) under uncultured bacterium. RNAcentral describes it as "partial 16S ribosomal RNA". It matches the Rfam family "Bacterial small subunit ribosomal RNA", at positions 338 to 795 of the family's 1533-position model. The record is from RNAcentral.